AAAUAAAUAAAAAUAGUGUUAGAAACUAUUUUUAUUGAAUUUAUAGAAGUAAAACAUAAGUCAGAAGUGACUUGUGCUGAAAUCGGAAUGAAGACAGAAGAUAUAGAAUUUUCUGUUGGAAACGGGACAGAUAAAUUAGCAGAAAAUGCACAGUCUCAGAAAAUUAUGAAAAUUGGAGGAUAAGUCAGAAAUAUUUUUAUGAGGCUAGAUUUAAAGUUUCAUAUUUUUCUGACAGCUGUAGAGUGAGAAAUAAAAUCCGACAACUAUCUGAUAAAGAUUACAGUUCGGUACAGUUUUCGGUGACCAAAUGGCGUCGAAACUGAAAACUUAAAAUAAAUUCUUACUCAGUACGUUAAACCGA
Molecule: long non-coding RNA, 361 nt
Filed under: Ananas comosus (pineapple)
Lineage: Eukaryota; Viridiplantae; Streptophyta; Magnoliopsida; Poales; Bromeliaceae
Description: long non-coding RNA (ACOM_LNC036430)
Source: RNAcentral